GACGAACGCUGGCGGCGUGCUUAACACAUGCAAGUCGAACGGAAAGGCCCUGCUUUUGUGGGGUGCUCGAGUGGCGAACGGGUGAGUGACACGUGAGUAACCUGCCCUUGACUUUGGGAUAACUUCAGGAAGCUGGGGCUAAUACCGGAUAGGAGCUCCUGCUGCAUGGUGGGGGUUGGAAAGUUUCGGCGGUUGGGGAUGGACUCGCGGCUUAUCAGCUUGUUGGUGGGGUAGUGGCUUACCAAGGCUUUGACGGGUAGCCGGCCUGAGAGGGUGACCGGCCACAUUGGGACUGAGAUACGGCCCAGACUCCUACGGGAGGCAGCAGUGGGGAAUAUUGCACAAUGGGCGGAAGCCUGAUGCAGCAACGCCGCGUGCGGGAUGACGGCCUUCGGGUUGUAAACCGCUUUCGCCUGUGACGAAGCGUGAGUGACGGUAAUGGGUAAAGAAGCACCGGCUAACUACGUG
This 468-nucleotide ribosomal RNA is filed under the name uncultured bacterium. RNAcentral's name for it is "partial 16S ribosomal RNA". It matches the Rfam family "Bacterial small subunit ribosomal RNA", at positions 28 to 507 of the family's 1533-position model. The record is from RNAcentral.